Molecule: ribosomal RNA, 386 nt
Filed under: uncultured bacterium
Lineage: Bacteria
Description: bacterial SSU rRNA
Rfam family: Bacterial small subunit ribosomal RNA
Source: RNAcentral
GACGAACGCUGGCGGCGUGCUUAACACAUGCAAGUCGAGCGGUAAGGCCCUUUCGGGGGUACACGAGCGGCGAACGGGUGAGUAACACGUGGGUGACCUGCCCUCAGCUCUGGGAUAAGCCUGGGAAACUGGGUCUAAUACUGGAUAUGACUCCACGGUGCAUGUCGUGGGGUGGAAAGCCUUGUGCGGCUGAGGAUGGGCCCGCGGCCUAUCAGCUUGUUGGUGGGGUGAUGGCCUACCAAGGCGACGACGGGUAGCCGGCCUGAGAGGGCGACCGGCCACACUGGGACUGAGACACGGCCCAGACUCCUACGGGAGGCAGCAGUGGGGAAUCUUGCGCAAUGGGCGUAAGCCUGACGCAGCGACGCCGCGUGGGGAUGAAGGCC